Molecule: ribosomal RNA, 258 nt
Filed under: uncultured bacterium
Lineage: Bacteria
Description: partial 16S ribosomal RNA
Rfam family: Bacterial small subunit ribosomal RNA
Source: RNAcentral
UACGUAGGGGGCAAGCGUUGUCCGGAUUUAUUGGGCGUAAAGAGCGUGUAGGCGGCCUGACAGGUCUGCUGUGAAAACUCGAGGCUCAACCUCGAGAUGUCGGCGGAAACCGUCUGGCUAGAGUCCGGAAGAGGAGAGUGGAAUUCCUGGGUGUAGCGGUGAAAUGCGCAGAUAAUCAGGAAGAACACCUAUGGCGAAGGCAGCUCUCUGGGACGGUACUGACGCUGAGACGCGAAAGCGUGGGGAGCGAACAGGAUU